Molecule: ribosomal RNA, 501 nt
Filed under: Triticum aestivum (bread wheat)
Lineage: Eukaryota; Viridiplantae; Streptophyta; Magnoliopsida; Poales; Poaceae
Description: partial small subunit ribosomal RNA
Source: RNAcentral
AUGAAAGGAGGCAACGCGAUGGGCCCUGAUUGUAUCCCCAUUGAGGUGUGGAAAGGUCUCGGGGACAUAGUGAUAGUAUGGCUAACCAAGCUUUUCAACCUCAUUUUUCGGGCAAACAAGAUGCCAGAAGAAUGGAGACGGAGUAUAGUAGUACCAAUCUUCAAGAACAAGGGGGAUGUUCAGAGUUGUACUAAUUACCGUGGAAUUAAGCUGAUGAGCCAUACAAUGAAGCUAUGGGAGAGAGUCAUUGAGCACCGCUUAAGAAGAAUGACAAGCGUGACCAAAAAUCAGUUUGGUUUCAUGCCUGGGAGGUCGACCAUGGAAGCCAUUUUCUUGGUACGACAACUUAUGGAGAGAUAUAGGGAGCAAAAGAAGGGCUUGCAUAUGGUGUUCAUUGACUUGGAGAAGGCCUAUGAUAAGAUACCGCGGAAUGUCAUGUGGUGGGCCUUGGAGAAACACAAAGUCCCAGCAAAGUACAUUACCCUUAUCAAGGACAUGUAG